AGUCGAGCGAACGGACGAGAAGCUUGCUUCUCUGAUGUUAGCGGCGGACGGGUGAGUAACACGUGGAUAACCUACCUAUAAGACUGGGAUAACUUCGGGAAACCGGAGCUAAUACCGGAUAAUAUUUUGAACCGCAUGGUUCAAAAGUGAAAGACGGUCUUGCUGUCACUUAUAGAUGGAUCCGCGCUGCAUUAGCUAGUUGGUAAGGUAACGGCUUACCAAGGCAACGAUGCAUAGCCGACCUGAGAGGGUGAUCGGCCACACUGGAACUGAGACACGGUCCAGACUCCUACGGGAGGCAGCAGUAGGGAAUCUUCCGCAAUGGGCGAAAGCCUGACGGAGCAACGCCGCGUGAGUGAUGAAGGUCUUCGGAUCGUAAAACUCUGUUAUUAGGGAAGAACAUAUGUGUAAGUAACUGUGCACAUCUUGACGGUACCUAAUCAGAAAGCCACGGCUAACUACGUGCCAGCAGCCGCGGUAAUACGUAGGUGGCAAGCGUUAUCCGGAAUUAUUGGGCGUAAAGCGCGCGUAGGCGGUUUUUUAAGUCUGAUGUGAAAGCCCACGGCUCAACCGUGGAGGGUCAUUGGAAACUGGAAAACUUGAGUGCAGAAGAGGAAAGUGGAAUUCCAUGUGUAGCGGUGAAAUGCGCAGAGAUAUGGAGGAACACCAGUGGCGAAGGCGACUUUCUGGUCUGUAA
This 697-nucleotide ribosomal RNA is filed under the name uncultured Staphylococcus sp. Its description in RNAcentral is "bacterial SSU rRNA". It matches the Rfam family "Bacterial small subunit ribosomal RNA", at positions 60 to 739 of the family's 1533-position model. The record is from RNAcentral. Lineage: Bacteria; Bacillati; Bacillota; Bacilli; Caryophanales; Staphylococcaceae.